Molecule: ribosomal RNA, 432 nt
Filed under: uncultured bacterium
Lineage: Bacteria
Description: bacterial SSU rRNA
Rfam family: Bacterial small subunit ribosomal RNA
Source: RNAcentral
CGAACGCUGGCGGCAUGCCUAACACAUGCAAGUCGAACGAGACCUUCGGGUCUAGUGGCGCACGGGUGCGUAACGCGUGGGAAUCUGCCCUUAGGUUCGGAAUAACUUCGGGAAACUGAAGCUAAUACCGGAUAAUGACGUAAGUCCAAAGAUUUAUCGCCAAGGGAUGAGCCCGCGUAGGAUUAGCUAGUUGGUGUGGUAAGGGCGCACCAAGGCGACGAUCCUUAGCUGGUCUGAGAGGAUGAUCAGCCACACUGGGACUGAGACACGGCCCAGACUCCUACGGGAGGCAGCAGUGGGGGAAUAUUGGACAAUGGGCGAAAGCCUGAUCCAGCAAUGCCGCGUGAGUGAUGAAGGCCUUAGGGUUGUAAAGCUCUUUUACCCGGGAAGAUAAUGACUGUACCGGGAGAAUAAGCCCCGGCUAACUCCGUG